This 800-nucleotide ribosomal RNA is filed under the name Citricoccus sp. K141. Its description in RNAcentral is "bacterial SSU rRNA". It matches the Rfam family "Bacterial small subunit ribosomal RNA", at positions 54 to 863 of the family's 1533-position model. Lineage: Bacteria; Bacillati; Actinomycetota; Actinomycetes; Micrococcales; Micrococcaceae. The record is from RNAcentral.
CAUGCAGUCGACGCUGAAGCUCCAGCUUGCUGGGGUGGAUGAGUGGCGAACGGGUGAGUAACACGUGAGUAACCUUCCCUUGACUCUGGGAUAAGCCCGGGAAACUGGGUCUAAUACCGGAUAUGACCUCCUGUCGCAUGGUGGGGGGUGGAAAGAUUUAUCGGUCUUGGAUGGACUCGCGGCCUAUCAGCUUGUUGGUGAGGUAAUGGCUCACCAAGGCGACGACGGGUAGCCGGCCUGAGAGGGUGACCGGCCACACUGGGACUGAGACACGGCCCAGACUCCUACGGGAGGCAGCAGUGGGGAAUAUUGCACAAUGGGCGCAAGCCUGAUGCAGCGACGCCGCGUGAGGGAUGACGGCCUUCGGGUUGUAAACCUCUUUCAGUAGGGAAGAAGCCUUCGGGUGACGGUACCUGCAGAAGAAGCGCCGGCUAACUACGUGCCAGCAGCCGCGGUAAUACGUAGGGCGCGAGCGUUAUCCGGAAUUAUUGGGCGUAAAGAGCUCGUAGGCGGUUUGUCGCGUCUGCCGUGAAAGUCCGGGGCUUAACCCCGGAUCUGCGGUGGGUACGGGCAGACUAGAGUGCAGUAGGGGAGACCGGAAUUCCUGGUGUAGCGGUGAAAUGCGCAGAUAUCAGGAGGAACACCGAUGGCGAAGGCAGGUCUCUGGGCUGUUACUGACGCUGAGGAGCGAAAGCAUGGGGAGCGAACAGGAUUAGAUACCCUGGUAGUCCAUGCCGUAAACGUUGGGCACUAGGUGUGGGGGACAUUCCACGUUUUCCGCGCCGCAGCUAACGCAUUAA